GCCUGGGUGGCUCAGUCAAUUGAGCGUCUGACUCUGAUUCAGGUCAUGAUAUCAGGGUUCGUGGGUUCGAGCCCCGCGUCGGGCU
Molecule: transfer RNA, 85 nt
Filed under: Felis catus (domestic cat)
Lineage: Eukaryota; Metazoa; Chordata; Mammalia; Carnivora; Felidae
Rfam family: tRNA
About the family: Transfer RNA (tRNA) molecules are approximately 80 nucleotides in length. Their secondary structure includes four short double-helical elements and three loops (D, anti-codon, and T loops).
Source: Rfam by way of RNAcentral